This 787-nucleotide ribosomal RNA is filed under the name uncultured bacterium. Its description in RNAcentral is "bacterial SSU rRNA". It matches the Rfam family "Bacterial small subunit ribosomal RNA", at positions 638 to 1425 of the family's 1533-position model. The record is from RNAcentral.
UGACUNGAGUGCAGAAGGGGAGAGUGGAAUUCCAUGUGUAGCGGUGAAAUGCGUAGAUAUAUGGAGGAACACCAGUGGCGAAAGCGGCUCUCUGGUCUGUCACUGACGCUGAGGCUCGAAAGCGUGGGUAGCGAACAGGAUUAGAUACCCUGGUAGUNCACGCCGUAAACGAUGAGUGCUAGGUGUUAGGCCCUUUCCGGGGCUUAGUGCCGGAGCUAACGCAAUAAGCACUCCGCCUGGGGAGUACGACCGCAAGGUUGAAACUCAAAGGAAUUGACGGGGGCCCACACAAGCGGUGGAGCAUGUGGUUUAAUUCGAAGCAACGCGAAGAACCUUACCAGGUCUUGACAUCCCGAUGCUAUUCUUAGAGAUAGGAAGUUACUUCGGUACAUCGGAGACAGGUGGUGCAUGGUUGUCGUCAGCUCGUGUCGUGAGAUGUUGGGUUAAGUCCCGCAACGAGCGCAACCCUUAUUAUUAGUUGCCAUCAUUAAGUUGGGCACUCUAGCGAGACUGCCGGUAAUAAACCGGAGGAAGGUGGGGAUGACGUCAAAUCAUCAUGCCCCUUAUGACCUGGGCUACACACGUGCUACAAUGGUCGGUACAACGAGUUGCGAGCCGGUGACGGCAAGCUAAUCUCUGAAAGCCGAUCUCAGUUCGGAUUGGAGGCUGCAACUCGCCUCCAUGAAGUCGGAAUCGCUAGUAAUCGCGGAUCAGCACGCCGCGGUGAAUACGUUCCCGGGCCUUGUACACANCGCCCGUCACACCACGAGAGUUUGUANCACCCGAA